GAAUCUCCACCCAAUUUGUCUCUCUCUAGAAUCAUCCCCCAAUAGCCUCUCUCUAGAAUCACCAACCCAAAAACUCCCAAAACAUAAAGGAAGAAUUGGUCUUCUUCAGAUCUUUUGCAUCAUAUAUUCCAUCACUAUCUCACAAAUCUACCAUUACGUUCGAGUAAUGUAUCGACUAAAUCAAAAGGUUCAGGCACCAAUCACAACGGGCUUGCACACCAAUUCCAAAUGUAUUGACGUGAACACCCAUGUGAAGGACAAUGGAAAAAGGCCAUUGAAGAUGUAGCUCCAGACCCAAGCACAAAAAAGAAAAAGAUCGCGACACCACACAGGUUAGGCACAUUUCAAUUUAACAAAAUCAGGAAUUGUACGGUAUGUUCAUUUUUUGUUGAAAAUGAAAUUAUAUCAAUUUUAUAUUUGAGAUAACUAACCCCAUUGUGUAUAUUUUUCACUUGCAAAACAUACAAAAAUUUAACAUGUCUUUGGAAUUACAAAAACUAGAAAAGACGAUUUCCAUUAACAAACUGCAGAAGUUGGGGGAAUUGUAGAAAAUUGUAUGUUGUUUUAAUUACCGAAUGUAAUUAGACACGAUUAAGGAUUAAGAGUUUAUUUUUUAUUUUUAUUUUUAUUUAUUUAUUUAUUUAUUUAUUUAUUUUAGUUAAGUCUACUCAAGCGUAUUACAUAUGUAAAAAGUGUUUUAGAUGGGUUGGAUCAUAUAUAGUUAUAUGGUGACUAAUGAAGUCAAUAGAAUAUAUGAAAAUACAUUAAAGACGUAUGAUAAAGUGUACUGGAUAAUAUAUGACAUUACACAAAUUAACUAUUCUAUCAAGUUCACUUUACAUGUCAUAGAACAUGAAUUGAUUUGAUUUAAUUACCUAAUGAUAGUGUUUUGAACUUUGAGAAUGAGCUAGAAUAUUGUGAUAGUUUUGUUGUUAGCUUACCGUCAUCGUUAUAUGCUCUUAUGAUUUACUAUGAGAUAUUUUUUAUCCAACUUAUUAUUUCAAUUUCAAAGCCAUCAGCAGUUGAAUAUUAUUUUUUAAAUAGUUUUGAUCCACUUAAUGAUCCACUCUCACACUCACCGCUUGACAAUCUGCAUUUGCAUGUAUGGUUUUAUAUAAGCUAAUAUAUUCUGGACAAGAUACUUUACAAUUUCAAUAAGGUAUGACUAAAUACUCUCAUAUAAGACAUCUCAGAUACGUUUACUUGUUUAUACCGUUCUUUAAUUUGAAUUUUCUCUAUCAUAUUUUUUUCCUUGACUUCUUAUUUUUAUUAUUAUUAUUUUUAUUUUUUCUAGGUAGAAGUUCUAUUGCCCCAUUCUAGCGAUGAGGAGUUGCAUGCACCAUAUUUCAUUCGGCUACCUAUUAGGGAACUCAUGUUUAAACCAAUUGCUACUUGUCAUCGUGAUUCAGCCGUUGUUGUCAAGUAAACCGAAAUAUUUGAUUCUCACUAAUAUAUUCCACGUUGAGUUCCAUGACUAUACUGUUCACUUCCUCAACCUCAUCGUCAUACAUCUCAACUGUUGAUAUGUCAAUUCUUGAAAUCAAAUCACUAAUUUUGGGAAUUUAGGAUGACAAUCUCAAGUAGGGGAAGGUGUGGAUGAAUGUAAUGAUUUGAAUGCACAAUAUAAUCACUUGUCGUAUACAACCUGGAUUCUGUGAGUGUAGAAGGCGCCGUCUCCACCACACUAACACGUAAUGCAUAGAUGGUCAUGAAUGAAAGCUGUCAUUUGUUAUUCGAAUUGGUGACAUCCCUACAUCAGCAAUGUAUUCAAUCUUGACAUCUAAAACUCUCUUGUCAACCUUUAUUUCAUCAACUAUCAUUUCAGCCAGUUGAAUGUACUUGCAACUUACAACCAAAUGGAACAAGAAGCCCAAACAUUUCUGCCCCAUACAUUACAAAGAUGUUUGUAUAAUCCAUUCUUGUAUUACAGAAUCACUGAUUAGUUUAUUAUGUAUAUAAAUAUUUAGUAAUACAAGACAAAAAGUAGCAUAUGUGUCAUCUUAUAGUUAUUCAUAUAUUUUUGGCCAAAC
This 2030-nucleotide long non-coding RNA is filed under the name Olea europaea (common olive). RNAcentral's name for it is "long non-coding RNA (OEUR_LNC006251)". The record is from RNAcentral. Lineage: Eukaryota; Viridiplantae; Streptophyta; Magnoliopsida; Lamiales; Oleaceae.